This 424-nucleotide ribosomal RNA is filed under the name uncultured prokaryote. RNAcentral's name for it is "bacterial SSU rRNA". It matches the Rfam family "Bacterial small subunit ribosomal RNA", at positions 355 to 796 of the family's 1533-position model. The record is from RNAcentral.
UGGGGAAUAUUGGACAAUGGGCGAAAGCCUGAUCCAGCCAUGCCGCGUGAGUGAAGAAGGCCCUAGGGUUGUAAAACUCUUUCAACGGUGAAGAUAAUGACGGUAACCGUAGAAGAAGCCCCGGCUAAUUUCGUGCCAGCAGCCGCGGUAAUACGAAAGGGGCUAGCGUUGUUCGGAAUUACUGGGCGUAAAGCGCGCGUAGGCGGCCUAGCAAGUUGGGGGUGAAAUCCCGGAGCUCAACUCCGGAACUGCCUUCAAAACUGCUAAGCUUGAGGAUGUGAGAGGUGAAUGGAAUUCCGAGUGUAGAGGUGAAAUUCGUAGAUAUUCGGAAGAACACCAGUGGCGAAGGCGAUUCACUGGCGCAUUUCUGACGCUGAGGCGCGAAAGCGUGGGGAGCGAACAGGAUUAGAUACCCCCGUAGUCC